RNAcentral lists this ribosomal RNA (253 nucleotides) under uncultured bacterium. Its description in RNAcentral is "partial 16S ribosomal RNA". It matches the Rfam family "Bacterial small subunit ribosomal RNA", at positions 524 to 776 of the family's 1533-position model. The record is from RNAcentral.
UACGUAGGGCGCAAGCGUUGUCCGGAAUUAUUGGGCGUAAAGAGCUCGUAGGCGGUCUGUUACGUCCGCUGUGAAAACCCAGGGCUUAACCCUGGGCUUGCAGUGGAUACGGGCAGACUAGAGGCAGGUAGGGGAGAAUGGAAUUCCCGGUGUAGCGGUGAAAUGCGCAGAUAUCGGGAGGAACACCGGUGGCGAAGGCGGUUCUCUGGGCCCGACCUGACGCUGAGGAGCGAAAGCGUGGGGAGCGAACAGG